GUACAGAGGGUGCAAACGUUGUUCGGAAUUACUGGGCGUAAAGCGCGUGUAGGCGGCUCGGAAAGUCGGAUGUGAAAGCCCUGGGCUUAACCUAGGAAGUGCAUUCGAAACUCCCGAGCUUGAGUUCUGGAGAGGAAGGCGGAAUUCUCGGUGUAGAGGUGAAAUUCGUAGAUAUCAGGAGGAACACCUGUGGUGUAGACAGCUUGCUGGACCAUAACUGACGCUGAGGCACGAAAGCGUGGGUAGCAAACAGG
RNAcentral lists this ribosomal RNA (254 nucleotides) under uncultured bacterium. RNAcentral's name for it is "partial 16S ribosomal RNA". It matches the Rfam family "Bacterial small subunit ribosomal RNA", at positions 523 to 776 of the family's 1533-position model. The record is from RNAcentral.